CAGCCGUAAACUAUGCUCGCUAGGUGUCAGGCAUGGCGCGACCGUGUCUGGUGCCGCAGGGAAGCCGUGAAGCGAGCCACCUGGGAAGUACGGCCGCAAGGCUGAAACUUAAAGGAAUUGGCGGGGGAGCAUAACAACGGGUGGAGCCUGCGGUUUAAUUGGACUCAACGCCGGACAACUCACCGGGAACGACAGCAAUAUGUAGGCCAGGCUGAAGACCUUGCCUGAAUCGCUGAGAGGUGGUGCAUGGC
This 251-nucleotide ribosomal RNA is filed under the name uncultured archaeon. RNAcentral's name for it is "partial 16S ribosomal RNA". It matches the Rfam family "Archaeal small subunit ribosomal RNA", at positions 748 to 998 of the family's 1478-position model. The record is from RNAcentral.